UUUUAUUUCACUGGAGGGGACUGUCGAUGCAAACAUGACAUCCCGAACCCCGACCAAAUGGAACAAGCACCUUACUGGGCAAUGGUAACCUCAACCUCAACACCAGGCUCGAUGUGGAUGGAAGUAAUUUGCUUGACAAUCUCGGAAGGAGAGUGGAGGUCGAUGAGACGCUUGUGGAUACGCAUCUCAUAGGUUUCCCAGGUCUUGGAACCUUCACCGUUAGGAGUCUUACGGGUAGUGAUUUUCAAGAUCUUGGUGGGAAGACGAACAGGACCCUUAACACGCAAUUGCUUGUCCUUGGCACGGUUGACCAAGUCAGAGCAAACCUUCUCCAAGUUACGAACGUUACGAGAAGUAAGGGUAAUGCGAAUGCGGUGAACAGUAGAGGGAAUUUGUUGUUCCUUUUGAUCUUUGGCGACUUGACUCAUUUUGUAGACAGCGGUGACCACGAUGGGGUUUAGUGAAAGAAGAAGUUGUUGAAGUAGAUUUUGUGUUGCUAAUAAAAAGUGACUGUUCCAAACAUAUACCCUACCCUAAUUGUUACAUUGAUGAGACGAGGCAAUCGAAUCGUACAUACCGGGGUCAAAAGAAGCGUUCAGAUGUUGAUCGCAACUUAAAAUAAGAGAAUUAAAAGGAAGUUGCUUGAGAGAAUUAGUUGAAAAUUGAAUCGAAGAAAUUUAUGGAUUUAAGUCCUAACAUUGAGCAAGUAACAAAUUGCCGGUAACAACGAAAAUUCGUUCACAGGGAACUAAAAAAAAACAAGCAAAAGUUGGUCCCAAGGAGCCAUUAAAGAAUCCAAUCAUUAAAAUAAGGUAAAAACCUUAUAAGUUUUCAAAACAAAUUUUUUAAGUCAUUCUUACUUAACUCUCAUUCGAGAGAGAACCCUACCCUAAUGAGCCCAAACAGUCACACUCAUUAUAGAAGCUUUUGAGCAUCCAAAUUUUUUAUCAUCCUUCGUUACCUACACAAUUUUAGGAACUUGGAAUAAUUAG
Molecule: non-coding RNA, 992 nt
Organism: Schizosaccharomyces pombe (fission yeast)
Lineage: Eukaryota; Fungi; Ascomycota; Schizosaccharomycetes; Schizosaccharomycetales; Schizosaccharomycetaceae
Source: the annotation of a GenBank genome assembly